CAGGCCUAACACAUGCAAGUCGAACGCCCCGCAAGGGGAGUGGCAGACGGGUGAGUAACACGUGGGAACGUGCCCUACGGUUCGGGAUAACUCUGGGAAACUAGAGCUAAUACCGGAUACGUGCGAGAGCAGAAAGAUUUAUCGCCGUAGGAUCGGCCCGCGUCUGAUUAGCUAGUUGGUGAGGUAAUGGCUCACCAAGGCGACGAUCAGUAGCUGGUCUGAGAGGAUGAUCAGCCACACUGGGACUGAGACACGGCCCAGACUCCUACGGGAGGCAGCAGUGGGGAAUAUUGGACAAUGGGCGAAAGCCUGAUCCAGCAAUGCCGCGUGAGUGAUGAAGGCCUUAGGGUUGUAAAGCUCUUUUACCCNGGGAUGAUAAUGACAGUACCGGGAGAAUAAGCCCCGGCUAACUCCGUGCCAGCAGCCGCGGUAAU
Molecule: ribosomal RNA, 434 nt
Filed under: uncultured bacterium
Lineage: Bacteria
Description: bacterial SSU rRNA
Rfam family: Bacterial small subunit ribosomal RNA
Source: RNAcentral